CGAACCAACAACGAGUCGUGUUCGUGUUUGUAGUCUUGAUCACCGUCGCCGUCGUCGUCAUUGGAGAGUGUUUAGUGUGUCUCUAUCUCUAGUAGUACUUGAGCCCUGAAAGUUAUACCCCACGGUGCGAGUUGUAUCCGUAGUGGUCCCGUCUCUCGGUGUCAGAAUCGAAUCAGCCUGGGCCUGCUACUGGUGUACUUUAGACAGUACCUACUUCUGCUGGCGGUGGUGGUAAAAGAACCCAGGGAAGGAAGAAAAAGCCAACGAAAGUGGUUACUAAUCCAGAACCUCGGAAGUGAUCAGUGCAUAUUUCAGCGAGCCAGAGGUUGCCUACAGAGAUUGCACCAUAUCGAAGAUUAAUUUCCCAGGGAUUCAUCGCGAAAAUGUCUGUGCAGUUAGGUGAGGCAAGUUCGGUGGCGUCCAGCUUACUGCCACAGUCGAAGGUUACUGCGUUCGGAAUGUAAAACUGGAAGCAAACUAUCAUAUUCAAGGGUUCCUAAGGUGUUAAAAGUUCUAAAACAAAAACAGCAACUCAACCAGUGAAUAAUAUAGUGGGCCAAGAAAAUUUGCAAGCCUGACAACGGAGCUAAAGGAAAGGUGGUGUAUUUUCCAAAUCGCGAAAAUUUUUUGGGAAGUGUGAGUUUUCCUUCGCCCGUCUGGGAAGAAUCAACAGCAGCAAGAAGAGGCGCUGCUUCAAGUUUGCUUGGAUCUUGCAGUCCUGUGUGUGCCUCCUCUGUUUCUGUGUCUGUGUGAUAUGCCGUUGCUACAAAGUGCGUGCGGGAAAAUCUGAGAAGAAAACUGUGUAAUAGGAAGGAAAACUCCAAGUUAAGAGGCGUUUUUCUGGGUGUUCGUUUUUCCACCGUAUCCGACAGUCGUAGGUACAUGCAGCCUACGUGUGUGUGUAUGUGUAAGUGGAAGUGAAAAUUCAUCGGCCGCAGUCCUCAGCAAGUGAGAGCGAGCAGGAGAGUAAGAAAAGAACUUAAUUGAAAAGUGAUUCAUUAUUGUUAUUAUUGGAGGGUUGGAAUUAAAACACCACCCACCGCCUACUGCUACCGUUGCUACGUCGAGCGGGGGAUUGGAAAAGUUCAUCGUCACUCUGCUUCGAGCAAAACAGGAGGAAAAUAACCCCAAACCAUAUUCAACGGAGGCAGGCAGAAAAUCCAAUUCUCUCCCGCGCGCGCUAUUUAAGCAAUUUCAAGAUCUCACUUUUAGUCGAUAAUCAUCAGCAACCAUGACAAAGCGGUUUGAGUUCAACUGGCAGAUCCCGGUUCCGGAGGCCCUCCAGGCCGGGUGCGUCUUCGACCGGUGGUUUGAGGAAAAGGACAACACAGAGUUCGAACCGGGCUGUACAUUCAAAGUGGACGAGUAUGGAUUCUUCGUCUACUGGAAAAGCGAAGGACGGGAAGGUGAUGUCAUCGAGCUUUGCCAAGUCAGUGACAUCCGAGCUGGUGGAAUGCCAAAGGACCUGAAGUUAUUCAACCAGGUGGUCAACAAACACGGAGAAAACGUCGAGGAGAAAUCUCUGACCAUUUGCUCCGGAACAGACUACAUCAACAUCAACAUGCAACAUGUGAUCUGCCCGGAUGCAGCUACGGCCAAGGUUUGGCUAGAUGGGCUACGGAGAAUCACUCACAACGGCAAAGCAAACAAUGUUUGUCCUAUGACUGCCCUCAAAAAGCAUUGGAUGCGAUUGGGCUUCCUGGUGGAUCCCCGUGGAAAGGUUCCCGUCAAAGUCGUAGCCAGAACAUUCGCUUCCGGUAAAACGGAAAAGUUAGUCUAUCAAAUUCUCUCGGAUCUCGGAUUGCCCAGCGGAAAGAACGAUGCCAUCGAGAGGCCGGACUUUACGUUCGAAAAGUUCUACGAGCUGUACCACAAGAUCUGCCCCAGGAACGACAUUGAAGAGUUAUUCCGGUCGAUCACCCAGGGCAAGAGCGAUACCAUCAACAUGGAACAGUUCAUCAAUUUCCUCAACGAAAAGCAACGUGAUCCUCGGUUGAACGAGAUUCUCUACCCACUGUACGACGAAAAGCGAGCGCUCGAAAUCAUCAACACCUACGAGCAGGACGAGAAGGCCCGGGAUACAAAAACCCUCUCCAAGGACGGGCUGAUUCGAUAUCUGAUGUCGGAUGAAAAUGCACCAGUAUUCCUCGAUCGGUUGGACAUCUACAUGGACAUGGAUCAACCAUUGUCUCACUACUACAUCAACUCAUCCCACAAUACGUACCUGUCGGGUCGCCAGUUCGGUGGCAAGAGUUCCGUCGAGAUGUACCGUCAGACACUGCUGGCAGGGUGCCGCUGCGUCGAGCUGGACUGCUGGGACGGCAAGGGCGAAGAUGAAGAACCAAUCAUCACCCACGGAAUGGCCAUGUGUUCAGAUAUCCUAUUCAAGGACGUAAUCUACGCCCUUCGUGAUACGGCCUUCGUCACCUCGGACUACCCUGUGAUCCUUUCGUUCGAAAAUCACUGCUGUCGAGCGCAGCAAUAUAAGCUAGCAAAAUACUGUGAUGAAAUCCUCGGUGAUCUACUUCUGAAGGAGCCACUGCCCGACUUUCCGCUCGAACCAGGUGCAGUACUUCCGCCUCCAUCUUACCUGAAGCGCAAGAUUCUCAUCAAAAACAAAAGACUAAAAGCGGAAGUGGAGAAACGGGAACUGGAACUCUUCCUGCAGGGUGAAUUCGUGGCGGAGGAUGAUGUGAAGGAGGAUGCCAGUGCAGUUCGGAAACCGGAAGGCGAAGAAGCCGCAGCCGUAGCAACGGUAGUUGUGUCGCCUGAUGGAGGCGAGGAAGUUCCCGUCGUCCAAUAUACCGGUUCGACGACCAACGUACAUCCCUGGCUAUCGUCGAUGGUCAACUACGCCCAGCCAAUCAAGUUCCAAUCGUUCGACUACGCCGACAAAAAGAAUAUCCACCAUAACAUGUCCUCGUUUGCCGAAACGACCGGAAUGAAUCUGCUGAAGCAGCAGGCCAUCGACUUUGUCAACUACAACAAACGACAGAUGUCCCGUAUCUACCCCAAGGGAACCCGAGCCGAUUCAUCCAACUACAUGCCCCAGGUGUUUUGGAAUGCCGGCUGCCAGAUGGUGUCUCUCAACUUUCAAACGUCUGAUCUGCCGAUGCAGUUGAACCAGGGUAAAUUCGAAUACAACAACAACUGCGGAUAUCUACUGAAACCGGAUUUCAUGCGGCGCUCCGAUCGAAAUUUCGACCCAUUCGCCGAUGCUCCGGUCGAUGGUGUGAUCGCUGCAUCCUGCGCUGUACAAGUCAUCGCCGGUCAGUUCUUGUCGGAUAAGAAAGUCGGAACCUACGUCGAAGUCGAUAUGUACGGUCUACCCUCGGAUACUGUGAGGAAAGAAUUCCGAACCCGUCUAGUCCCGGCGAACGGUCUCAACCCGGUGUACAACGAAGAACCGUUCCUAUUCCGUAAAGUGGUCUUGCCGGAUCUAGCCGUGCUGCGAUUCGGUGUGUACGACGAAAACGGUAAACUACUCGGACAACGAAUCUUGCCCCUGGAUGGCCUGCAGGGCGGCUACCGGCAUAUCUCCCUGCGUACGGAUGCCAACUUCCCGAUGUCGCUUCCUAUGUUGUUCUGUAACAUCGAACUGAAGAUCUACGUUCCGGAUGGAUUCGAAGACUUCAUGGAUGCCCUCUCCGAUCCACGAGCUUUCAUGGGCGCUGCCAAGGAGCGGUCCGACAAUAUGAAAGCCAUGGGCAUUGAGGAAUCCAGCUCAGGAGGGGCAGCGGAUGCCGGCAAAGCUGCCAAGAAAGAUGAAUACCUGGAACCACCGAUAGUAUUCGAUCCCAUCACGGUCGAAUCGCUACGACAAGAGAAAGGCUUCCAGAAAACGGCCAAGAAGCAACAGAAGGAGCUCGAUAGCGUCAAGAAGAAGCAUUCAAAGGAACGCAUGGCUGUGCAGAAGCAGCAGAACGCUGCCAUCGAAAGACUGAUCAAGGGAAAGAGUAAGGAGGAAAUCAAGGCAGAUCCAGCUAUACGGAAAGUGAUCCAGGAACAAAAUGCCCAAUGGAGCGAGAUGAUCGAACGUCACAAGAAGGAAGAGUGGGAUCUCCUCAAGCAGCAGCUGGACGAUCAGCGGGAAAUUCUACGCAAGCUGAUGGAAACAACUCAGGCGGCGCAGAUGAAGCAACUGGAAGCGAAGCACGAGCGCGAAGUCAAGACGCUCAACAGUAACCAGGCGAAGAUCUCCGUCGAAACGUCCAAGGAGGUGGCGAACGACAAGACCCUAAAGACCAAGGGUGAGAAGGAUCGUCGGUUGCGUGAGAAGAAGCAGAACAACAUCAAGCGGUUCAUGGACGAGAAGAAGACGGCCGGCAUCAAGCAAAACCGAGAGAAGGAGAAGCUGAAGGUGACGCACGACAAGCAACUGGAAGAGCUGAACAACGACGUUCAGAAGGUACAGAACGAAUGCCGGGAGAUUGUUACGCUAGAAACGGUGGUGUAGCGCUGUGCUCGCCUCAAAAAUGCGCCUUAGUAAAUAGUGCUCUGUGAUUUACGGGAAACUGGAUCAAGCGCGCCGGAUAUGCUGCAACCGUGUUUCUAAAUUGCCAAGCUGAUCUGUGUUAUCGUACUAGUUUUCUUUUAUGUUUUGAUUUGUCUUUAGUAGAAUUGUUAGGUUUCGUUUAUCAGUAGUACCUAGGUAGUGCGCCGCCAGCCAAAGCAAAUUAUUUAUUUCUCUUUUUUUGUUUCGUGAAUAGACCCUAUUUGAUAAGUUCUCACGUGUACCUUACUCUCUAAGUUCGACUAGUUGUGUAUAUUUUGUUUUUUGUUAGUGUUUGUGUUAACAUUGAGCGGAGCUGGACCGUCUUCUUUUCGCUGCGACCAACUGAUCGAUAUGUACAAGGUCGACGAGGAGGAGUACAAGAUGUCCAGUAAGAUGGAGUUCUAUGCCUGAAUGUUAGCCAACGGUUCGCCCCAGGCUGACCCAAUAAAACAAUCCAAAUAAAAGUUACUGAAAAACCAACAGCAGAACUGAACCACUUUAAGUUUCUCGUAUUACAACAUACAAAACAAACAAACAAAUGUAUUGGAGAACAUAGUAAUAAAAAAGCAACAACAGCAACAACAACAACAGAUCACAGAUCGUAGAUCAAAACAUAAACCAGUGAAAUGUAUAUGAGUACGAAAACCCCAUAUUUUAGAGGAACUCUAUAAGACGUACUAAGCUCUACUAUCAAGAAAAAAAUGUAUCAUUUUGAGCGAAACAAGAACUAGGUGAACCAAAAAACAAAUAAACUAUUACUGUUAGUAUUAAAUGAAGCAAACAACUACACUUAUCAAAGAGUAGCAUCAUUUUAGAAAAAUGAAAUGAAAAUCAAAGUGAGAUUAGUUGUUUCUUAUUAUCGUUAUUUAUGUUAGAACAAGGAAGGGGAAAAGUGAUACCAACGAUGGAGGAACGAGGGGCAUUUUGUACUGUUGCGUUAGUAGGAACGGAAAGAGCAGGGGAGAUUUUUUAGGUUGCCAACAUGGAAAAUUUAUCUAACUAAGAAAGAGCGGGAUCAAAUGAAUUUUUACGUCUAUCAUCAACAUGUGAACGAAAUACUACACUUAAACCAACACAUACAAGUAGAAAACGGAGACUGUUCGUUAGCCAUAGCAAGUACAUUUACAGUUGAUUGCCAUAUAUUUUCCGCUAAGAGAUUUUAUGUUGACACAAAUUGCUUCUAUUACGAGCUUCUUAUUGGUGUUGACCGUUUCCGUAAGUUCUAGUAGAAAGUCAAUUAGGAAAUUAGAAAAGCAUCACACUAAAAUUGCUUUGACUUCUGUUACACAAAUUUGAACAAACAAAAACUAAGUAGAAAUAUGGCAUCGGAAGAAGCGAUUCUUUUGUCACAUUUUCUGAAAGCAAUCAAAACUGUUUUAAAUUCUGCAAACAACCAAGUAUUUUACUACCAAUACAGCAGAGAAACUGAAAGAAAAUAACAAAUAACACUGAUAACCCCACAAUAUAUGAGAAUAAACAUACUGAAGUGUAUAUCAUAAUCAUUUUUAAAAUUACUGAUUGAAAAAAAAACAUAUUAAAGAGAGUUAUAAACAAAACCAAAUUUUAAAACAAGUUAAAGAAGACGAAAGCAGACAAAAUAUUUAGAUCUUAUGGUAAGCAACAAAGAAAGGAAAAGUAUUGUAAUCGUAACCUCUUCCCUACGUCCCUCCAGAGAGCGUUCCUACCAUCUUGAAAGUCUGUCGCAUUCAUCCCCACUAACCCCAUAAUGACCCAUUCCUUCACAUCAUCAAAUCAACACAGAAGAAAAAAAAAUGUGAAAUCGAACUGCUGUUCAUAGAAGCAACCAGAAACGAUAAAUAAAAAAGAACUACAAGAAUCAUGAGUGCCUAUAAUACGAAAAUCAUCCCUUUAUACUUUUUUAUCGUAACAAAGAAAAAUGCAAAUUACACAAUCAUCUCGUCGAGUGUAAUCAAUGUCAUCCCGAUUGAAAAACUAAUUCUUUUUUUC
RNA transcript from Ochlerotatus camptorhynchus, 6463 nucleotides. It is a transcript of the gene named no receptor potential A, with no coding region annotated. The record is from RefSeq and is a predicted model, not a curated record. Lineage: Eukaryota; Metazoa; Arthropoda; Insecta; Diptera; Culicidae. The transcript has 14 exons.